GCCAGGUGCGGUGGCUCAAGCCUGUAAUCCCAGCACUUUGGGAGGCCGAGACGGGCGGAUCACGAGGUCAGGAGAUCGAGACCAUCCUGGCUAACACGGUGAAANUUUCACCGUGUUAGCCAGGAUGGUCUCGAUCUCCUGACCUCGUGAUCCGCCCGUCUCGG
This 164-nucleotide non-coding RNA is filed under the name Chlorocebus sabaeus (green monkey). The record is from Rfam by way of RNAcentral. Lineage: Eukaryota; Metazoa; Chordata; Mammalia; Primates; Cercopithecidae.